RNAcentral lists this ribosomal RNA (699 nucleotides) under uncultured bacterium. RNAcentral describes it as "bacterial SSU rRNA". It matches the Rfam family "Bacterial small subunit ribosomal RNA", at positions 55 to 746 of the family's 1533-position model. The record is from RNAcentral.
AUGCNAGUCGAGCGGGGGUGAUGUAGCUUGCUACAUUACCUAGACGGCGGACGGGUGAGUAAUGCUUAGGAAUCUGCCUAUUAGUGGGGGACAACAUUCCGAAAGGAAUGCUAAUACCGCAUACGCCCUACGGGGGAAAGCAGGGGAUCUUCGGACCUUGCGCUAAUAGAUGAGCCUAAGUCAGAUUAGCUAGUUGGUGGGGUAAAGGCCUACCAAGGCGACGAUCUGUAGCGGGUCUGAGAGGAUGAUCCGCCACACUGGGACUGAGACACGGCCCAGACUCCUACGGGAGGCAGCAGUGGGGAAUAUUGGACAAUGGGCGAAGGCCUGAUCCAGCCAUGCCGCGUGUGUGAAGAAGGCCUUUUGGUUGUAAAGCACUUUAAGCGAGGAGGAGGCUACUUGGAUUAAUACUCUAGGAUAGUGGACGUUACUCGCAGAAUAAGCACCGGCUAACUCUGUGCCAGCAGCCGCGGUAAUACAGAGGGUGCGAGCGUUAAUCGGAUUUACUGGGCGUAAAGCGUGCGUAGGCGGCUUUUUAAGUCGGAUGUGAAAUCCCUGAGCUUAACUUAGGAAUUGCAUUCGAUACUGGGAAGCUAGAGUAUGGGAGAGGAUGGUAGAAUUCCAGGUGUAGCGGUGAAAUGCGUAGAGAUCUGGAGGAAUACCGAUGGCGAAGGCAGCCAUCUGGCCUAAUACUGACGU